UAAGACGAACCGAGCGAACGUUGUUCGGAAUCACUGGGCUUAAAGGGCGCGUAGGCGGGCUGCCGCGUCCGGGGUGAAAUCCCACGGCUCAACCGUGGAACGGCCCCGGGUACGGGCGGCCUCGAGGGGGGUAGGGGCGUGCGGAACUGUGGGUGGAGCGGUGAAAUGCGUUGAGAUCCACAGGAACUCCGGUGGCGAAGGCGGCACGCUGGACCCUCUCUGACGCUGAGGCGCGAAAGCCAGGGGAGCGAACGGGAUUAGAUACCCCGGUAGUCCUGGCCCUAAACGAUGAGAACUGGGUAGUAGCCCUGGCAUGGGGUUACUGCCGCAGCCAAAGUGCUAAGUUCUCCGCCUGGGGAGUAUGGUCGCAAGGCUG
RNAcentral lists this ribosomal RNA (376 nucleotides) under uncultured bacterium. RNAcentral's name for it is "bacterial SSU rRNA". It matches the Rfam family "Bacterial small subunit ribosomal RNA", at positions 521 to 896 of the family's 1533-position model. The record is from RNAcentral.